UCCGGNNGAUCCNGCCGGAGGGNACCGCUUUCGAGGNNCGACNAAGCCAUGCGAGUCGAAUGCCGCAAGGCAUGGCGUACUGCUCAGUAACACGUGGACAACCUACCCUUAGGACUGGGAUAACCCCGGGAAACUGGGAAUAAUCCCCGAUAGUCCUCGAAGGCUGGAAUGCAUCGAGGGCGAAAGCUCCGGCGCCUAAGGAUGGGUCUGCGGCCUAUCAGGUAGUAGUGGGUGUAGCGUACCUACUAGCCUACGACGGGUACGGGUUGUGAGAGCAAGAGCCCGGAGAUGGAUUCUGAGACACGAAUCCAGGCCCUACGGGGUGCAGCAGGCGCGAAAACUUUACAAUGCUGGCAACAGCGAUAAGGGAACCUCGAGUGCCAGGUUACAAAUCUGGCUGUCGAGAUGCCUAAAAAGCAUUUCAUAGCAAGGGCCGGGCAAGACCGGUGCCAGCCGCCGCGGUAACACCGGCGGCUCGAGUGGUAACCGUUAUUAUUGGGUCUAAAGGGUCUGUAGCCGGCCGGAUAAGUCUCUUGGGAAAUCUGGCAGCUCAACUGUCAGGCUAUCAGGAGAUACUGUCUGGCUCGAGGCCGGGAGAGGUGAGAGGUACUUCAGGGGUAGGGGUGAAAUCUUGUAAUCCUUGAAGGACCACCAGUGGCGAAGGCGUCUCACCAGAACGGACCUGACGGCAAGGGACGAAAGCUAGGGGCACGAACCGGAUUAGAUACCCGGGUAGUCCUAGCCGUAAACGAUACUCG
This 758-nucleotide ribosomal RNA is filed under the name uncultured archaeon. RNAcentral's name for it is "bacterial SSU rRNA". It matches the Rfam family "Archaeal small subunit ribosomal RNA", at positions 1 to 766 of the family's 1478-position model. The record is from RNAcentral.